This 816-nucleotide ribosomal RNA is filed under the name uncultured bacterium. RNAcentral describes it as "bacterial SSU rRNA". It matches the Rfam family "Bacterial small subunit ribosomal RNA", at positions 58 to 916 of the family's 1533-position model. The record is from RNAcentral.
CAAGUCGAACGGGAAUCUUCGGAUUCUAGUGGCGGACGGGUGAGUAAUGCGUAAGAAUCUAACUUCAGGACGGGGACAACAGUUGGAAACGACUGCUAAUACCCGAUGUGCCGAAAGGUGAAACCUAAUUGGCCUGAAGAAGAGCUUGCGUCUGAUUAGCUAGUUGGUGGGGUAAGAGCCUACCAAGGCGACGAUCAGUAGCUGGUCUGAGAGGAUGAGCAGCCACACUGGGACUGAGACACGGCCCAGACUCCUACGGGAGGCAGCAGUGGGGAAUUUUCCGCAAUGGGCGAAAGCCUGACGGAGCAACGCCGCGUGAGGGAGGAAGGUCUUUGGAUUGUAAACCUCUUUUCUCAAGGAAGAAGUUCUGACGGUACUUGAGGAAUCAGCCUCGGCUAACUCCGUGCCAGCAGCCGCGGUAAUACGGGGGAGGCAAGCGUUAUCCGAAAUUAUUGGGCGUAAAGCGUCCGCAGGUGGUCAGCCAAGUCUGCCGUCAAAUCAGGUUGCUUAACGACCUAAAGGCGGUGGAAACUGGCAGACUAGAGAGCAGUAGGGGUAGCAGGAAUUCCCAGUGUAGCGGUGAAAUGCGUAGAGAUUGGGAAGAACAUCGGUGGCGAAAGCGUGCUACUGGGCUGUAUCUGACACUCAGGGACGAAAGCUAGGGGAGCGAAAGGGAUUAGAUACCCCUGUAGUCCUAGCCGUAAACGAUGGAUACUAGGCGUGGCUUGUAUCGACCCGAGCCGUGCCGAAGCUAACGCGUUAAGUAUCCCGCCUGGGGAGUACGCACGCAAGUGUGAAACUCAAAAGAAUUGACGG